ACGAACGCUGGCGGCACGCCUAACACAUGCAAGUCGAACGAGAACUCCCACUUCGGUGGGAAAUUCUAGUGGCGGACGGGUGAGUAACGCGUAGGAACCUACCUUUCGGUGGGGAAUAACGACGGGAAACUGUCGCUAAUACCCCAUACGCCCUGCAUAUAUAUGUUGUCCUUCGGGACAGUAUGUACAUGCAGGGGAAAGUUUUUCGCCGAUAGAGGGGCCUGCGUCAGAUUAGGUAGUUGGUAGGGUAAAGGCCUACCAAGCCUAUGAUCUGUAGCUGGUUUGAGAGGAUGAUCAGCCACACUGGGACUGAGACACGGCCCAGACUCCUACGGGAGGCAGCAGUGGGGAAUAUUGGACAAUGGGGGAAACCCUGAUCCAGCGAUGCCGCGUGAGUGAAGAAGGCCCUAGGGUUGUAAAGCUCUUUCAACUGUGAAGAUGAUGACGGUAGCAGUAGAAGAAGCCCCGGCUAACUCCGUGCCAGCAGCCGCGGUAAG
RNAcentral lists this ribosomal RNA (497 nucleotides) under uncultured bacterium. RNAcentral's name for it is "bacterial SSU rRNA". It matches the Rfam family "Bacterial small subunit ribosomal RNA", at positions 29 to 524 of the family's 1533-position model. The record is from RNAcentral.